UACGGGGGGGGCAAGCGUUGUUCGGAAUUACUGGGCGUAAAGGGUUCGUAGGUGGCCAACUAAGUCAGACGUGAAAUCCCUCAGCUUAACUGGGGAACUGCGUCUGAUACUGGUUGGCUUGAGUGCAGGAGAGGAAUGCGGAAUUCCAGGUGUAGCGGUGAAAUGCGUAGAUAUCAGGAGGAACACCGGUGGCGAAGGCGGGUCUCUGGGCCGAUACUGACGCUGAGGAGCGAAAGCGUGGGGAGCGAACAGG
Molecule: ribosomal RNA, 253 nt
Filed under: uncultured bacterium
Lineage: Bacteria
Description: partial 16S ribosomal RNA
Rfam family: Bacterial small subunit ribosomal RNA
Source: RNAcentral